UGUUUCACCCAGUAGGAAGUCUGAUUUAUCAUAACAUCCUGUUUGUGAAGUUGUUCUACAACGAGGCAGGCACAGACAGUCAACUGCUUUGAAGGGGAACUGAUUCCGGAGCUCUCUGUCAUGGGAAAGGCGAAGGCCAAUGCUGGGCUCCUGGCCCGGAGGCCUGACAACUCGGCUUUCAAACAUCAGCCUGUCUGGUCCCCAAUGCUCACUGCUCACACCGUCCUGCCUUCCUUUUAUUGUAUGGCCACUAUACGUGUGAAACUGGGAGUGUGCCUACUUGCCACCGUGCAGAAUACACAUGAACUGAAGGUGGACUACACACAUGCAGGGUCAUGUGAUAAGUGUUUUGAGACCACAAGCUGUUGAACCAAAUCCAAGUCCUUUGAGAAGCACAGUGAUUAUGUUUCCUAUUUCCUGUCCCUGAGAGAUGUGUUCUUCUACUUUGGGCUGAUCAACUUCCACCAGAACAUACAUGGACUCCAGGGAUGAUGGACAGAUGGUCAGGAGAAAAUAAAAACCUGCAGCGCCUACUGUGAGCCCUUCAUAAAGGAAAAGAAUGGACUCCCUAUCGCCCCCUGCUGGGCCAUGGCCAACAGCAUGUUCAACGACUCCUUCUCUCUGACGUACUACUCAGGAGAGGGGGGUCCAGUGGUCCAUGUUCAUCUGUUCAGGAAGGGCAUCACCUGGUACACCGACAAGAACGUCAAGUUCCGCAACCAACCAGAUGAGAACAAGACACUUAACGUUAGCACAUGAUUGAAGGCACGACCCGGCCUCUGUAUUGGUAGAAGCCCGUGUUUGACCUGGACCCCUGGGACCACAACAACGGCUUCAUCAACGAGGACUUGAUAGUGUGGAUGAGGGAGGCUGCCUUCCCCAACUUCAAGGAGCUCUACAGGGUCCCGAGCUAGAGAACCCUUCACCGAAGGGCUGCCGACUGGGAACUACUGCAUCCAUAUCUCCUACAGUAGCCAUUAUUAUUCAUCUGCUUAUUAAUGCUUUAUUCUACCAGAUUGAUCAUUUUGAGAUUUAAAUAAAUUUAAUUAAAACUA
Molecule: long non-coding RNA, 1055 nt
Organism: Oncorhynchus nerka (sockeye salmon)
Lineage: Eukaryota; Metazoa; Chordata; Actinopteri; Salmoniformes; Salmonidae
Exons: 6
Source: RefSeq, a predicted model, not a curated record